Molecule: non-coding RNA, 2320 nt
Organism: Triticum urartu
Lineage: Eukaryota; Viridiplantae; Streptophyta; Magnoliopsida; Poales; Poaceae
Source: RefSeq, a predicted model, not a curated record
AUCAUCCCCGCCGCCCCCACACAUUCUGGUCACUUCCCACCGCCCCUCACAUCUACCCGUUGUUCCCCAUUCUACCAUGGCCGCCCCUGCUCUUGAUCCCCUUCAUGGUUGAAUCUGGUCAUGGAAGCAUCCAUCAGAGGAAGACGCAGAGGCGCAGACCACGCAAGCCCAUGCUCUUCCCUGCUCCUUCCUCAAAUCUGGUCGCCGAAGUGAUCGAGGAGGCGCUCGAGCUUGGUAUGCUCGCUGGGGACGCCGCCCCGUCCCUCUCCUCAUGACGCCGUCGCCGUUGCCGUCGUGGCAAUGAGUCUCUCCACCAUCUCCCAUGUGCUCGCUUGCUCGUCCCGUCCCCUAGGAUUAUUUGCUCGGGGGCCAUGGCAUGUCCGCCACCAUUGUUGCUGCCCAACUGUGAGGUCGCCGGGAUGUGUCUCGUGCGUCUCUACCUGACAACUGCUCUAGGGAGCCGGGCUUCGUCGUCCAAUGGGACCGGCAAGGUCCGAGACUGCAGAUCCCUGCUCGCCAACUCACAGUCCUGGCGGUUGUCCUACCAGUUGAAAAAGAAUUUCCUGAAGGAGAAGAAGGAGGUCCCGAAAGGGGAUGGGAGCAACAAGUCUGAAUCGAAGGGUUUGUUUUGAUUCUGAGUUGCAUUGCACAAUAUUUUUAUAGUUUGGGAAAUCCUUGGAGUUGUCUAUGGAACCUUUCCUUGAUGUGAUGGUCGGGCAUAUUUGUGUACUAAAUUAGUGUUCUGGAUUACCAUCAUCGGCAAUUCUAAAUAUUUCUUUGAUGUAUUACCACAAGCAUUAUGCUGAUGGUGUCCCACAUGCUACAGCCCAGUGGGGUCCUUUUGGUGGAGAGAUAUCCUCAAGCUCCAUGAUGCGUACACACCUAUUGCCUCAGUGCACAUAAACAUGGGUGACUCUGCUCUAUUCUGGACAGAUGCUUGGCAUAUUGGUGGAUCUUCUAGACCUUUAUGUUGGAGACUGCCAAGGUUAUUUUCCUUUGUUAACAAUGACAAGGUUCCAGUGCAUGAAUUCCUCAUAUCACAGGAUAUUUUUUCAAUGUUUUUCUUGCCAUUGUCUCAUGAGGCUGCUCAGGAGUUGCAUGUGCUAGAGGAUUGGAUAAUGGCUUUGGACAGGAACAUUAACAUACCGGAUGUCUGGGUCUGGCCAGGCAAAUCUGGUGCAUUCUCAACCAAGAGUUUCUACACCUUAAUGCACUCACAUUUGCCUACAAUUCAACCAUGUAAAUGGUUGUGGAAAAGCAGAUGCACAUUGAAGAUCAAAGUCUUUGGCUGGUUACUUUUAUUUGACAGGCUUAACACCAAGGACCUCCUGAUCCGCAGGCACUGGAGAUCCCCUUUGGAUGAUAAUCUUUGUGUUAUCUGUCAGGAAUUAUCAUAUGAGGAUAGGCUGCAUUUGUUCUUCAACUGCAAUUUCAGUCAGAGGGUUUGGAACUAUCUUUCUAUUGAUUGGUCAAGAGGGCCGGACAUUUUGCAAUGUAUCCAACAUGCUAGAUCAAGUUUCAGGCAUACUUUCUUCUUUGAAGUAAUGCUGACAGCUGCCUGGAACAUUUGGAUCCUCAGGAAUGGAAGAACUUUUAGAGGGGAGAGAGCUACUUUUGCUGCUUGGAGGUCUAACUUUGUACAUGAUCUCACACUUCUAUCUCAUAGGCUUAAUGAGGAUAGUAGCAUCAAGCUUAUAGCUUGGAUAAACUCUUUAGUCUAAUUAGUACAGGAUAAGGAAAAUUUAUUUAAUCUCGCGGCCGUGCUUGGCGAUGAUCGCCUUGUCCUCUACAGCGUUGUGGCCGCAGGCCAUGUGGGCUAUGACUCCGCCAGCGGCGACUGGUCCUUCCCGUGCCUCUAUCGCCUCGUGGUCGAGUCGUCCUCUCCCCAAAUCAACAUCCACCCCUUUGUCAAGCCUUCCAUGCCAGCGACAUGAGCAGGAUGGUGUACACAAGCUUCACAGACAUGUGGCCGUGGAGGCUCUAGAUGAGGUCGACGCCGAUGACAACUCGAACAGUUCGUAGAGCCGUACCAGGGCAAUGGUGCUGACCUGUAGCUCCACCUUCGAUGGUAAAUUAUGGCUCAUAGCCAAGAAUUGUAAUCACGGUUGAUCCAAUGAGGACUUGCAGCCAUGCGAGCACCUGUGCCUCCUGCUCCGAUGGCAAAAUUUGGCUCGCUUCCCGGGAUCCUCACCGAGACGGGAACCGCGGACAAACAUGGCGAUUUGAACAGAGAGGAGAUGGAGGUAUCAGUUAUAUAUACAGAAAGAUUGCAGUCUGAUUGGUGAUAUAUAUGGAAUAAAUGUUAUGUGCUUAAGGAAAA